GACGAACGCUGGCGGCGUGCCUAAUACAUGCAAGUCGAGCGAAGUUUUUCUGGUGCUUGCACUAGAAAAACUUAGCGGCGAAUGGGUGAGUAACACGUAAAGAACCUGCCUCAUAGACUGGGACAACUAUUGGAAACGAUAGCUAAUACCGGAUAACAGUAUUUCUCGCAUGAGAGAUAUUUAAAAGUUGGUUAUGCUAACACUAUGAGAUGGCUUUGCGGUGCAUUAGCUAGUUGGUGGGGUAAAGGCCCACCAAGGCGACGAUGCAUAGCCGACCUGAGAGGGUGAUCGGCCACACUGGGACUGAGACACGGCCCAGACUCCUACGGGAGGCAGCAGUAGGGAAUCUUCCGCAAUGGGCGAAAGCCUGACGGAGCAACGCCGCGUGAGUGAAGAAGGAUUUCGGUUCGUAAAGCUCUGUUGUUAGGGAAGAAUGGAUAUGUAGUAACUAUACAUGUAAGAGACGGUACCUAACCAGAAAGCCACGGCUAACUACGUG
Molecule: ribosomal RNA, 499 nt
Filed under: uncultured bacterium
Lineage: Bacteria
Description: partial 16S ribosomal RNA
Rfam family: Bacterial small subunit ribosomal RNA
Source: RNAcentral